Molecule: ribosomal RNA, 465 nt
Filed under: Vreelandella stevensii
Lineage: Bacteria; Pseudomonadati; Pseudomonadota; Gammaproteobacteria; Oceanospirillales; Halomonadaceae
Description: partial 16S ribosomal RNA
Rfam family: Bacterial small subunit ribosomal RNA
Source: RNAcentral
CCUACGGGGUGCUGCAGUGGGGAAUAUUGGACAAUGGGCGAAAGCCUGAUCCAGCCAUGCCGCGUGUGUGAAGAAGGCCUUCGGGUUGUAAAGCACUUUCAGUGGGGAAGAAAGCCUUGGGGCUAAUACCCUCGAGGAAGGACAUCACCCACAGAAGAAGCACCGGCUAACUCCGUGCCAGCAGCCGCGGUAAUACGGAGGGUGCGAGCGUUAAUCGGAAUUACUGGGCGUAAAGCGCGCGUAGGCGGUCUGAUAAGCCGGUUGUGAAAGCCCCGGGCUCAACCUGGGAACGGCAUCCGGAACUGUCAGGCUAGAGUGCAGGAGAGGAAGGUAGAAUUCCCGGUGUAGCGGUGAAAUGCGGAGAGAUCGGGAGGAAUACCAGUGGCGAAGGCGGCCUUCUGGACUGACACUGACGCUGAGGUGCGAAAGCGUGGGUAGCAAACAGGAUUAGAUACCCGUGUAGUC